AACGAACGCUGGUGGCAUGCCUAGCACAUGCAAGUCGAACGAAGCCUUCGGGCUUAGUGGCGCACGGGUGCGUAACACGUGGGAAUCUGCCCUUCGGUUCGGAAUAACAGUUAGAAAUGACUGCUAAUACCGGAUGAUGACGUAAGUCCAAAGAUUUAUCGCCGAAGGAUGAGCCCGCGUAGGAUUAGGUAGUUGGUAGGGUAAUGGCCUACCAAGCCGACGAUCCUUAGCUGGUCUGAGAGGAUGAUCAGCCACACUGGGACUGAGACACGGCCCAGACUCCUACGGGAGGCAGCAGUGGGGAAUAUUGGACAAUGGGCGAAAGCCUGAUCCAGCAAU
Molecule: ribosomal RNA, 339 nt
Filed under: uncultured bacterium
Lineage: Bacteria
Description: bacterial SSU rRNA
Rfam family: Bacterial small subunit ribosomal RNA
Source: RNAcentral